This 581-nucleotide ribosomal RNA is filed under the name uncultured bacterium. Its description in RNAcentral is "bacterial SSU rRNA". It matches the Rfam family "Bacterial small subunit ribosomal RNA", at positions 102 to 679 of the family's 1533-position model. The record is from RNAcentral.
ACGGGUGAGUAAUGUCUGGGAAACUGCCCGAUGGAGGGGGAUAACUACUGGAAACGGUAGCUAAUACCGCAUAACGUCUUCGGACCAAAGUGGGGGACCUUCGGGCCUCACACCAUCGGAUGUGCCCAGCUGGGAUUAGCUGGUAGGUGAGGUAACGGCUCACCUAGGCGACGAUCCCUAGCUGGUCUGAGAGGAUGACCAGCCACACUGGAACUGAGACACGGUCCAGACUCCUACGGGAGGCAGCAGUGGGGAAUAUUGCACAAUGGGCGCAAGCCUGAUGCAGCCAUGCCGCGUGUAUGAAGAAGGCCUUCGGGUUGUAAAGUACUUUCAGCGGGGAGGAAGGCGAUGCGGUUAAUAACCGCGUCGAUUGACGUUACCCGCAGAAGAAGCACCGGCUAACUCCGUGCCAGCAGCCGCGGUAAUACGGAGGGUGCAAGCGUUAAUCGGAAUUACUGGGCGUAAAGCGCACGCAGGCGGUCUGUCAAGUCGGAUGUGAAAUCCCCGGGCUUAACCUGGGAACUGCAUUCGAAACUGGCAGGCUUGAGUCUCGUAGAGGGGGGUAGAAUUCCAGGUGUAGC